AUUAAAAGUUUUAUUCUGGCUUUAUUGUUAAGUGUGCUUAUUUAAUUAUAUGAAAAUUUUUGUUGGGAUUAUUUAUUUUUUAGAUAAAAAUAGGUUAAAGAUUUAUUCUCAGUAGUUAAUUUUAAAUAUUAAAGAAAUUUAGAUUUAGAAAUAAGUUUUAAUAUUGACUAAGUUUGUGCCAGCAGUUGCGGUUAUACAAACAAUAUAAUUUAACAAUCACAGUUAUAGUUAAUAUAAAUAUAAAAUAAAAUGAUUUUUAAAUUGAAUUUAUUAGGUGAAAUUUUAAAUUUAAAUAUAAAUUAUUUAUAGUUUAUGAAGCUAAGAAAUUUAAUUAAUAGACUAGGAUUAGAUACCCUAUUAUUUUAAAUGUGAAUUUUAUAUACUGAAUUAUUAAAAGUUAUGUCCUUGAAAGUUAAAGAAUUUGGCGGUAUUUUAGUCUAUUCAGAGGAACCUGUCCUGUAAUUGAUGAUCCACGAUUAAUUAUACCAUUGUUUUAAAUUUAUAUAUCGUCGUAGUUAAAUAUUUUAGGAGAAAAGUAAUAUUUAUGAUUUUUUAAUAAAAAAUUAAUCAGAUCAAGAUGUAGUUUAUAUAAUGGAAGAGGUGGGUUACAAUAAAGAUAUUUAUGGAUAAAUAGUUGAAAACUAUAUUUGAAAAUGGAUUUGAAAGUAAUUAUAUAUAUAUAUUUAUAAUGAUUUUAGCUCUAAAAUAUGUACAUAUCGCCCGUCGCUUUCAUCCUAAAGUGAAAUAAGUCGUAACAAAGUAGUCUUACUGGAAAGUGAGGCUAGAGGGGC
RNAcentral lists this non-coding RNA (791 nucleotides) under Nitidulidae sp. BMNH 1274727. Lineage: Eukaryota; Metazoa; Arthropoda; Insecta; Coleoptera; Nitidulidae. The record is from RNAcentral.